CCGGACUUCAUCCUUAUGUUUUUCUGGUUGUUCUGUGCACGCGUGUGUGUAGUUACGGUGUUCGUUUCGUGUAGUGGUACCCAACGGAGGUGCACUCAUUAUCAGUUGUUCAUGAUAAUCGUCUAGUUAGUUUUUCCUCGCUCUGUGAGCUGUUGGCGUCGUGUUGAGUUCAAGGUGGCGCGGCAGGCUUCCGAGCUCAAGAUUCAAGCGGCGGUGCUACGUGGAAUUUCAAGUUGUGGUAUUUUUUUUUUCCUUCCCCUGCGAUGAGGAAGGAGCUGCGGAACAAGCAAUGCUGUCGACCCUGAAACUGCAGCUGUGUUCGGAAUGCUAUCUGGGUUUCCUUUUGUUUUUGCUCUGUGAUUAUCAUGUGCGGUGCUGCGAUAUCCGGGAGUGACUACGGUGGUUGCGUCAACAUUUUUCUGCAACCUUCUCUUCUGCUGCCGUUCGAUGGUCAUCAUCUAUGGUGGAGCGGAUUCUCUUGACAUUGUUGCGGCGAUUUGUAGAGACAAAAUCACAUUUUAUUUCCUUGUCGGCAGGUGAUGAGUGUGUUACUACGGAAGGUGGUUAUUGAAGUGAAGGAAAGCUGGAAAUUUGAGCUGUGGCGGAGAAAACCAGCAGGCCUUCCAGUUCGAAGGGCUUCGCAUCCAGCGCCUCCCUCGGUGCUACUCCUCUGCAACCAUUCAAGGUGACAUCCUCGGAGUGAAUUUUUAGAUUAAGGUCAAUUCAUAGUAGACGAAGUAAAGUUAGAAUGGAUUAAUUUUGGAUGAAAACUUAAUCAAGGAUGAGUUUUCAAA
Physcomitrium patens is the source of this 794-nucleotide non-coding RNA. The record is from RefSeq and is a predicted model, not a curated record. NCBI's taxonomy places the organism in Eukaryota, Viridiplantae, Streptophyta, Bryopsida, Funariales, Funariaceae.